AAUUUUGGGUGAUUGCGGCGGCUUUAUGUCAGCUGAGGAAAGUCCAUGCUCGCACAGGCUGUGAUGUCUGUAGUGUUCGUGCUCGGUGAAAAAAUAAGCCGGGGGACCAUUUUAAUGGUUACGGCGGGAAAACCGGCUAAGGUCUUUGGCUAUGCCCUAGUAUUCCUGAAAAGUGCCACAGUGACGAAGCAAUUCAGGAAACUGGAUUGAUGGAACGCGGUAAACCCCUCGAGCGGGAAACCCAAACUUAUGGUAGGGGAGCUUCACAUAGGAAACUGAACUGAUUGUGAGGGGAGACUUUUUAGUCUCGAGAUAGAUGAUUGCCACUGCAUGAUUGAACCUGAAGAUUGUGCUUCGACAAAACAUGGCUUACAGAA
RNAcentral lists this RNase P RNA (377 nucleotides) under Paucilactobacillus wasatchensis. RNAcentral's name for it is "Lactobacillus wasatchensis Bacterial RNase P class B". It matches the Rfam family "Bacterial RNase P class B". From Rfam's summary of the family: Ribonuclease P (RNase P) is a ubiquitous endoribonuclease, found in archaea, bacteria and eukarya as well as chloroplasts and mitochondria. Its best characterised activity is the generation of mature 5'-ends of tRNAs by cleaving the 5'-leader elements of precursor-tRNAs. Lineage: Bacteria; Bacillati; Bacillota; Bacilli; Lactobacillales; Lactobacillaceae. The record is from Rfam by way of RNAcentral.